UGGGGAAUAUUGCACAAUGGUCGCAAGCCCGAUGCAGCCAUGCUGCGUGUAUGAAUAAUGCCUUCGGGUUGUAAAUUAUUUUCAGCGAGUAGGAAGGUAUUAAGGUUAAUAACCUUAGUGAUUGACGUUACUCGCAGAAGAAGCACCGGCUAACUCCGUGCCAGCAGCCGCGUUAAUACGGAGGGUGCAAGCGUUAAUCGGAAUUACUGGGCGUAAAGCGCGCGUAGGCGGGCUGUUAAGUCAGAUGUGAAAUCCCGGAGCUCAACCUGGGAACUGCAUUUGAGACUGACAGGCUUGAGUCUGGUAGAGGUGAGUAGAAUUCCAGGUGUAGCGGUGAAAUGCGUAGAGAUCUGGAGGAAUACCAGUGGCGAAGGCGGCCCCCUGGACAGGGACUGACGCUCAGGUGCGAAAGCGUGGGGAGCAAACA
RNAcentral lists this ribosomal RNA (427 nucleotides) under uncultured bacterium. RNAcentral describes it as "bacterial SSU rRNA". It matches the Rfam family "Bacterial small subunit ribosomal RNA", at positions 355 to 774 of the family's 1533-position model. The record is from RNAcentral.